RNAcentral lists this ribosomal RNA (482 nucleotides) under uncultured bacterium. RNAcentral describes it as "partial 16S ribosomal RNA". It matches the Rfam family "Bacterial small subunit ribosomal RNA", at positions 30 to 507 of the family's 1533-position model. The record is from RNAcentral.
AUUGAACGCUGGCGGCAUGCUUUACACAUGCAAGUCGAACGGUAACAGGCCGCAAGGUGCUGACGAGUGGCGAACGGGUGCGUAAUGCAUCGGAACGUGCCCAGUCGUGGGGGAUAACUACUCGAAAGAGUAGCUAAUACCGCAUACGAUCUAUGGAUGAAAGCGGGGGACCGUAAGGCCUCGCGCGAUUGUAGCGGCCGAUGUCAGAUUAGGUAGUUGGUGGGGUAAUGGCUCACCAAGCCAACGAUCUGUAGCUGGUCUGAGAGGACGACCAGCCACACUGGGACUGAGACACGGCCCAGACUCCUACGGGAGGCAGCAGUGGGGAAUUUUGGACAAUGGGCGCAAGCCUGAUCCAGCAAUGCCGCGUGCAGGAAGAAGGCCUUCGGGUUGUAAACUGCUUUUGUACGGAACGAAACGGCUCUGGUUAAUACCCGGGGCUAAUGACGGUACCGUAAGAAUAAGCACCGGCUAACUACGUG